CAUCUCCGGACCAGAUCAAAUCACAUGCAAUCGAGAUUGCACUUAAUACAUGCAAGUCAAGUGGACCUUAAGAGGGUGCUUGGUUUAUAUCUAGAAUCGGAAUCAAAAUGAAACUUGGAAUGGAUUAGAAUAAAAAUUGAAAUGACCAAAUCCUUCAAAAUAUUUGGUUUAUGAUCGGAAUUAGAAUCAUAAUGAAAAUUUAAAUCCAUAGGAGAGAGUAGGAAUUGAGUUUUAGAAGAUGCUUAGUUGUGGGGAGUGGGGGUCA
RNAcentral lists this long non-coding RNA (265 nucleotides) under Elaeis guineensis (African oil palm). RNAcentral describes it as "long non-coding RNA (EGUI_LNC023911)". The record is from RNAcentral. Lineage: Eukaryota; Viridiplantae; Streptophyta; Magnoliopsida; Arecales; Arecaceae.